RNAcentral lists this long non-coding RNA (210 nucleotides) under Brassica rapa (field mustard). RNAcentral's name for it is "long non-coding RNA (BRAP_LNC006490)". Lineage: Eukaryota; Viridiplantae; Streptophyta; Magnoliopsida; Brassicales; Brassicaceae. The record is from RNAcentral.
CAAUACCUAUUACAAAAGGAACUCUACAGAGUUAAAAAAAAUUUGAAAAACACCCCCUAAAAAGACACAUAAACCCAACAAUCCAACCCCAGGAAACCAAAGAACACAUCCUCAACACUAUACCCAAUACAUUUCCACUCACUGACACUAAAAAGAAAACCUAAACACAACAAACCAACCCGUACGGAAAACUAAACCCAAACCCCCCAC